UUGCAUGCAGCACAAGCAGCUUCCAGCCUACUGACCCGGUUUCUCACGCUGAGUCUGCAGCCCAGCACCAUGCUCCAGGGUGCCUUGGAGCCUGAUGGCCUCAGCUGGGGCUGGGAUGGGGAGGAUGACUGGGAUGGCGCUGUCCUGACCCUGCUGGCACUGGCUGUGGUGGCUGCCACGGCACUGGCCUUGCACUGGUUUGGCUCUGGGCAGGACCAGGAGGCAGCAGGACCCACAUCCACAACCCCUGGUGCCCAGCCUUCUCAGGCGGGAGGAGCCAGGCCAGUCCUGUCCCUGAAGUCCAAGGUCAGUGGUGACGUCGAGGGACACAGCUCAGGGCAGGGGAAACCAGACCCUCCAGGAUGUGGCCAGGGGAGUCCGGCUGCAGCAGGGACCCAGGAUCAGAAGCUCUGGGGAGGUGGAGGUCUGGCUGCUGCAGCUGUACCUCCACUCAAGACAACUGGCGAGGUGACCACUGGAGGGGCCCUGGGACAGCAGCAAGGUAAUGCCAGUCCAGAAGCCCCCCAAGGUAAAGGAAGGGAGCCUCUCAGGCCAGGUACUGCCCUCCUGGGUAGGAGCAAAGUAGGGGGGACAUCUGGCCCCAUCCUGAUACACUUCACCCCUCGGAGUCCUGGCAGAGAGAUGGAAGGACAGGUGGAGGCAGGAGGCGUCCAAGUCAAGGUGCCAACUCACCAGGGCCUGGUCCACACCACAGAACUGGACACCAGUCCCUGGCAACAAGGUGUAGGGCCACCUGGCUCACUAGAGAGAGGCCCCAGCAGCCGGCGGUGGCAGGUGGGCCGCAGCUCAGGAGAUAGAAAACUCCACUUCCCGAAGCUGGACUCCCUGCGCCUGGGUGCCGUGGUGAGUGUGUGGGAGGCUGUGGAUGCAGCCAGCAGCCUCUCCACAGGCUCUCAGAGGCCCCCUAUCCCCCAGGAGCUGCCUCCAUCACACACCACACAGAGUGGGGCCCUGGCUGAGGGCACAGAGAAGGGGUGCAGGGAGAGCAGCCUCCAACCAGCUCCAGUCCUAGCUCUGGAGAGCAGGGAGGCUGGGCCCCAGGCUCCCAGGGAGUCUCAGGGAUCCCCAGCCUCCAUGGAAGGCUGGCCCUGGGAGAGGAGGGACGUUCUUGUCACCAGG
Molecule: long non-coding RNA, 1140 nt
Filed under: Ailuropoda melanoleuca (giant panda)
Lineage: Eukaryota; Metazoa; Chordata; Mammalia; Carnivora; Ursidae
Description: lncRNA (ENSAMEG00000029926.1)
Source: RNAcentral